AUGAGCAGGAGCUUCGAGCAGUGGUCUCCCCACUGGACUGGUGCUGCCCCCAGCCCAGGCUCCAUGGCCGGGGCCCCCUGCGCCUACAGAGUACCUCACAGCGGAAACACCACUGAGUGCUGUAGACCCGGGGUGCGCAGUGGCCCUCGGGGACCAGUGCAUGCGGUAGGAGUGGGUCUGACUAUGGUUCAUCACACUCCCGGGACGACUGCUGCGUGGGAAAGGGACAUGCGGACCUUGCCCAGCUCAGUGGAAAGGGGCCCGGGGUCCACGUCAAGCACCCAGUAGUGCAGGCCACUGUGAG
RNAcentral lists this long non-coding RNA (304 nucleotides) under Fukomys damarensis (Damara mole-rat). RNAcentral describes it as "lncRNA (ENSFDAG00000026771.1)". The record is from RNAcentral. Lineage: Eukaryota; Metazoa; Chordata; Mammalia; Rodentia; Bathyergidae.